AGAAAUUUAGGUUAACCCAAACCAAGAACCUUCAAAGUUCUAAACAUGAGCAACCACCCUCCUAAUUUCUG
RNAcentral lists this transfer RNA (71 nucleotides) under Hemidactylus bowringii. RNAcentral's name for it is "tRNA-Trp". Lineage: Eukaryota; Metazoa; Chordata; Lepidosauria; Squamata; Gekkonidae. The record is from RNAcentral.